UCGAGAAUCAUUCGCAAUGGGCGAAAGCCUGACGAUGCGACGCCGUGUGAGCGAUGAAGGCCUUAGGGUCGUAAAGCUCUUUCGCUUGGGAACAAGAGAUUCUGGCAAAUAACCAGGAGAUUUGAGGGUACCAGGUAAAGAAGCACCGGCUAACUCCGUGCCAGCAGCUGCGGUAAUACGGAGGGUGCAAGCAUUAAUCGGAUUUAUUGGGCGUAAAGGGCGCGUAGGCGGGGAUGUAAGUCAGAUGUGAAAUCCUGGGGCUCAACCCCAGAACAGCAUUUGAAACUGCAUUUCUAAGAGGGUAGGCGGAGAAAAUGGAAUUCCACAAGUAGCGGUGAAAUGCGUAGAUAUGUGGAAGAACACCAGUGGCGAAGGCGGUUUUCUAGCUUAUACCUGACGCUAAAGCGCGAAAGCAAGGGGAGCAAACAGGAUUAGAUACCCCUGUAGUCC
This 450-nucleotide ribosomal RNA is filed under the name uncultured bacterium. Its description in RNAcentral is "bacterial SSU rRNA". It matches the Rfam family "Bacterial small subunit ribosomal RNA", at positions 355 to 796 of the family's 1533-position model. The record is from RNAcentral.